GAUGAAGAACGUAGCGAAAUGCGAUAAGUAAUGUGAAUUGCAGAAUUCAGUGAAUCAUCGAAUCUUUGAACGCACAUUGCGCCCCCUGGUAUUCCGGGGGGCAUGCCUGUCCGAGCGUCAUUGCUGCCCUCAAGCACGGCUUGUGUGUUGGGCCCCCGUCCCCGGUUUCCCCCGGGGACGGGCCCGAAAGGCAGCGGCGGCACCGCGUCCGGUCCUCGAGCGUAUGGGGCUUUGUCACCCGCUCUGUAGGCCCGGCCGGCGCCAGCCGACACCCAACUUUAUUUCUAAGGUUGACCUCGGAUCAGGUAGGGAUACCCGCUGAACUUAAGCAUAUCAAUAAGCGGAGGA
This 348-nucleotide unclassified non-coding RNA is filed under the name soil metagenome. RNAcentral's name for it is "partial contains 5.8S ribosomal RNA, internal transcribed spacer 2, and large subunit ribosomal RNA". The stretch from base 1 to 120 matches the Rfam family "5.8S ribosomal RNA", at positions 35 to 154 of the family's 154-position model. The record is from RNAcentral.